Molecule: non-coding RNA, 215 nt
Organism: Petromyzon marinus (sea lamprey)
Lineage: Eukaryota; Metazoa; Chordata; Hyperoartia; Petromyzontiformes; Petromyzontidae
Source: RefSeq, a predicted model, not a curated record
CCCACGAGAAGACCAAUCACGGCCCUGUGGGUCCUCCCUCUGCCAGGCGACCGCUUACCACCACAGGUCGGGGUCCCUGUCGCCGAGAUCCCAGCCGCCUCCCUCGACUCGAGCCCUGGAUGAACAGCAGCCACGGUGCGCGUCUUGGAUACACAGGUGCAUGCGUCAUGGGUACACAGGACCGACGUGACUCGGGUGACUUCACUCAAUUCUCC